Molecule: long non-coding RNA, 1821 nt
Filed under: Mytilus galloprovincialis (Mediterranean mussel)
Lineage: Eukaryota; Metazoa; Mollusca; Bivalvia; Mytilida; Mytilidae
Source: RNAcentral
UACAUGAAGGUAUAUUUUUUAUUACAUAUUUGAUUUAAUCAGGGAAAAAAUAAACUAUACGCAAAUAAUCAGCAAAUUUUCAAUAUGGAAUCAAAACUGUAUGAUAUGCCCUUAAACAAACUGUGUUAAUUAAUACUGUAAAAUGCCCUAUGAUAUGUCUUCUAUAUAUAUCCUGAUCUAUAUAUCCAAGUACAUGUACAUGUAGUACCAAUAUUUUAUAGAUCUAUAGAUUGGGUAAUGUCUUUAGGUUGGACAAGAUAGAGGUGAAUAAUACUAUUGUGAUAUUCAAACUCCCAAGUUGAAAAAGAAGUGACAAUGCCAUGACUAAAUAUGAAAAAAACAACCAACAGACCUGCAUGUGAAUAUAAAAAAACACAACAUAAAAAAGUAAAGUCUGAGCAACAUGAAUCCCGCUAAAAAGGGGAUAUCUCAAAUCCCAUGGAAGGGUGUGCAAACAUGAACUCUGAAAUACUCAUAUAUAUAUUUUUUUAAAGAACAGUUCAGAAUUAUUUUAUUGAUUACUGGUUUCUGAACAUUUUCUUUUCGUUAAAACUGGUUUACCUUGCACUUUCAUUUUCAAUGUUUUGAUAUAAAAAUAACUUAUAAUGCCAUGAAUUUCCAAGUUAAACAAUUCUGAAGUUUAUAAAAUUCUUGAUUUUUUCAAGAACUCACUAUUAAUGCUGUAAGAUCAAAAUUUUUUUAGACUUCUAAUGUUUAAAAAAACAAUUUUACAUAUAACACACAUAAACAUUCAAUUUGUUACAUAAUAUUUUGGGAUCAGGCCUCGACAAUAACGCUUGUCCGAUUGUCCGGUACCAGAAGGAAAAAAGGUCAGACAAGUAAAAGCUGUAUCAAGCUUGUCCGUUGGGACAAGUACAAUUAUUCUACAGAAAAUAAAUUUCAUCCAAAUUUGAUGAACAAAAUAUAAUUAUAAACAAAAAACAACAAAAAACAAAUAUUAAUUUGACAUAUGUAUUCUGUUUGUUCCCGGAUCUGUAUAGUGUUGAAUAAAUGGGGGAAAAAACAUGAAUGCAAAUAAAAUAAUGACAGAAUUUUUACCAUGUACAUGUAUCUUUGAUCAAUCAAUUAUACUCAUUUAUAGCACUGUGCAUGUAAAUUAAUAAUACUUUAUUCUUGAAAACUUGAAAAAUAUGGCACUCUAUAUAGUGAAAUCUGAACUAGCAUCAAAUAAAUUUGCAACGUUUUUUGCUAUUUCAUCACACGUCACAUGACUUUAAAAAAGCAAAUUAAAUGACAAACAAAAAAUUGGCAAAUCAUGACACUUUACUUAAGAGUUAUAACACUUUCAAAACAUAUAAGAGCACUAGGAAAAAUAUUUAGACUGCUCCAUAGGAAAAUCAAGGCUUAUUGCCUUUGAUCAUGUUGAUUAUUUCAAAUCAUUUCAUCAAAUAUUUUCUCAUGUUCCUUGUGGAAAAACAAAGCCUCAGUAUGUAUAAUAUGUUUUACAGGAAAAAUGUGAAUACCCUAUUUUUCCAUAAAAAAAUAUUAAUACUUGUACAUAAAAUGAAAGAUUUCUGGUAUAACAAUAUUGAACUUGCUUUAAAUGAAAAAUGAUGAAAAACAUAAGAUCUAAUAAAAAUACAGAUCAUAUUCCCUCGCUUAAAUUUAACAAAGAUCUGACGGCACUCAUUCUUCCUUUUGGGAAUUUUGAAAUCCUUGAGCUGGGACCAAUUGUGUACACCUUCAAAAACUAUAAUUUACAGUACAUGGGGUCAAAUCCAUAUUUAUAAGCAAAGUGUCCACAUAGCAUCUACAGAUUAACAAUCAAAAAUGGAAAAAAUAUGUCACUGGGUUUGUUUA